RNAcentral lists this ribosomal RNA (1023 nucleotides) under Staphylococcus aureus. RNAcentral describes it as "bacterial SSU rRNA". It matches the Rfam family "Bacterial small subunit ribosomal RNA", at positions 8 to 1012 of the family's 1533-position model. Lineage: Bacteria; Bacillati; Bacillota; Bacilli; Caryophanales; Staphylococcaceae. The record is from RNAcentral.
AGAGUUUGAUCCUGGCUCAGGAUGAACGCUGGCGGCGUGCCUAAUACAUGCAAGUCGAGCGAACGGACGAGAAGCUUGCUUCUCUGAUGUUAGCGGCGGACGGGUGAGUAACACGUGGAUAACCUACCUAUAAGACUGGGAUAACUUCGGGAAACCGGAGCUAAUACCGGAUGAUAUUUUGAACCGCAUGGUUCAAAAGUGAAAGACGGUCUUGCUGUCACUUAUAGAUGGAUCCGCGCUGCAUUAGCUAGUUGGUAAGGUAACGGCUUACCAAGGCAACGAUGCAUAGCCGACCUGAGAGGGUGAUCGGCCACACUGGAACUGAGACACGGUCCAGACUCCUACGGGAGGCAGCAGUAGGGAAUCUUCCGCAAUGGGCGAAAGCCUGACGGAGCAACGCCGCGUGAGUGAUGAAGGUCUUCGGAUCGUAAAACUCUGUUAUUAGGGAAGAACAUAUGUGUAAGUAACUGUGCACAUCUUGACGGUACCUAAUCAGAAAGUCACGGCUAACUACGUGCCAGCAGCCGCGGUAAUACGUAGGUGGCAAGCGUUAUCCGGAAUUAUUGGGCGUAAAGCGCGCGUAGGCGGUUUUUUAAGUCUGAUGUGAAAGCCCACGGCUCAACCGUGGAGGGUCAUUGGAAACUGGAAAACUUGAGUGCAGAAGAGGAAAGUGGAAUUCCAUGUGUAGCGGUGAAAUGCGCAGAGAUAUGGAGGAACACCAGUGGCGAAGGCGACUUUCUGGUCUGUAACUGACGCUGAUGUGCGAAAGCGUGGGGAUCAAACAGGAUUAGAUACCCUGGUAGUCCACGCCGUAAACGAUGAGUGCUAAGUGUUAGGGGGUUUCCGCCCCUUAGUGCUGCAGCCAACGCAUUAAGCACUCCGCCUGGGGAGUACGACCGCAAGGUUGAAACUCAAAGGAAUUGACGGGGACCCGCACAAGCGGUGGAGCAUGUGGUUUAAUUCGAAGCAACGCGAAGAACCUUACCAAAUCUUGACAUCCUUUGACAACUCUAGAGAUAGAGC